This 337-nucleotide unclassified non-coding RNA is filed under the name soil metagenome. RNAcentral's name for it is "partial contains 5.8S ribosomal RNA, internal transcribed spacer 2, and large subunit ribosomal RNA". The stretch from base 1 to 120 matches the Rfam family "5.8S ribosomal RNA", at positions 35 to 154 of the family's 154-position model. The record is from RNAcentral.
GAUGACGAACGUAGCGAAAUGCGAUAAGUAGUGUGAAUUGCAGAAUUCAGUGAAUCAUCGAAUCUUUGAACGCACAUUGCGCCCCUUGGUAUUCCAUGGGGCAUGCCUGUUCGAGCGUCAUUUGUACCUUCAAGCUCUGCUUGGUGUUGGGUGUUUGUCUCGCCUCUGCGUGUAGACUCGCCUCAAAACAAUUGGCAGCCGGCGUAUUGAUUUCGGAGCGCAGUACAUCUCGCGCUUUGCACUCAUAACGACGACGUCCAAAAGUACAUUUUUACACUCUUGACCUCGGAUCAGGUAGGGAUACCCGCUGAACUUAAGCAUAUCAAUAAGCGGAGGA